This 456-nucleotide ribosomal RNA is filed under the name uncultured Acidovorax sp. Its description in RNAcentral is "bacterial SSU rRNA". It matches the Rfam family "Bacterial small subunit ribosomal RNA", at positions 924 to 1382 of the family's 1533-position model. Lineage: Bacteria; Pseudomonadati; Pseudomonadota; Betaproteobacteria; Burkholderiales; Comamonadaceae. The record is from RNAcentral.
CACAAGCGGUGGAUGAUUGUGGUUUAAUUCGAUGCAACGCGAAAACCUUACCACCUUGACAUGUACGGAAUCCUUUAGAGAUAGAGGAGUGCUCGAAAGAGAGCCGUAACACAGGUGCUGCAUGGCUGUCGUCAGCUCGUGUCGUGAGAUGUUGGGUUAAGUCCCGCAACGAGCGCAACCCUUGUCAUUAGUUGCUACAUUCAGUUGGGCACUCUAAUGAGACUGCCGGUGACAAACCGGAGGAAGGUGGGGAUGACGCCAAGUCCUCAUGGCCCUUAUAGGUGGGGCUACACACGUGUUACAAUGGCCAGUACAAAGGGUAGCCAACCCGCGAGGGGGAGCCAAUCCCACAAAGCCGGUCGUAGUCCGGAUCGCAGUCUGCAACUCGACUGCGUGAAGUCGGAAUCGCUAGUAAUCGCGGAUCAGCAUGUCGCGGUGAAUACGUUCCCGGGUCUU